RNAcentral lists this ribosomal RNA (372 nucleotides) under uncultured Glomeromycotina. RNAcentral describes it as "LSU rRNA". Lineage: Eukaryota; Fungi; Glomeromycota. The record is from RNAcentral.
UUGAAAGGGAAACGAUUGAAGUCAGUUGUCCCCGUGAGUAAACAGUCUUUAGGGUUUGCUUUUGUGGAAUCUGAAGACUUUAAAGCCUCUCGGCCUGCCAAUUUUGUCACUUUGGGGUUAUUUUUUUCGUAUGUAAGUUAAACUCAAUUUUGGUGGUCCAUAAAAUGAUGGAAGAAAUGAAGCUUGGAUCUGUAAUGAAGUUGUAAUAGCCUCGGGAGGAGUGGUGGUCGGGAUUGAGGGUUGCCACCGAAUCCUUCGGGGCUACCUGUCUGAUCUCUGAACGUUGCUCUGGUGCCGAAAGCUUGCUUACGGUUAUCAAAGUCGAUGGUCAAUAGGUUAGAAUGGGUUAAAUUCGUUAAGGAUGUUGACGUA